Molecule: ribosomal RNA, 525 nt
Filed under: uncultured bacterium
Lineage: Bacteria
Description: bacterial SSU rRNA
Rfam family: Bacterial small subunit ribosomal RNA
Source: RNAcentral
ACAUCCACGGAAGUUUUCAGAGAUGAGAAUGUGCCUUCGGGAACCGUGAGACAGGUGCUGCAUGGCUGUCGUCAGCUCGUGUUGUGAAAUGUUGGGUUAAGUCCCGCAACGAGCGCAACCCUUAUCCUUUGUUGCCAGCGGUCCGGCCGGGAACUCAAAGGAGACUGCCAGUGAUAAACUGGAGGAAGGUGGGGAUGACGUCAAGUCAUCAUGGCCCUUACGACCAGGGCUACACACGUGCUACAAUGGCGCAUACAAAGAGAAGCGACCUCGCGAGAGCAAGCGGACCUCAUAAAGUGCGUCGUAGUCCGGAUUGGAGUCUGCAACUCGACUCCAUGAAGUCGGAAUCGCUAGUAAUCGUGGAUCAGAAUGCCACGGUGAAUACGUUCCCGGGCCUUGUACACACCGCCCGUCACACCAUGGGAGUGGGUUGCAAAAGAAGUAGGUAGCUUAACCUUCGGGAGGGCGCUUACCACUUUGUGAUUCAUGACUGGGGUGAAGUCGUAACAAGGUAGGCGUAGCGAG